This 22-nucleotide microRNA is filed under the name Ophiophagus hannah (king cobra). Its description in RNAcentral is "oha-miR-215-5p". Its record names the gene oha-miR-215-5p. RNAcentral also lists the same sequence under 3 other names. Lineage: Eukaryota; Metazoa; Chordata; Lepidosauria; Squamata; Elapidae. The record is from miRBase by way of RNAcentral.
AUGACCUAUGAUUUGACAGACU